UGAAAGCCAAAGAUCAAGGAGCAAAAAAUUAAAAAAAUUGAGACUAACAUUAUUAAAAAUAAAGAGAUUUAUUAUAAUUUAAAAACGGUGCAGGAAGUGGAGCUGAGAAUAUACACUUCGGAGUUUAAUCUAUUUGUGACAAUUUAUUUCCACAAAUUAAAAGGAGCAUAGGAGGAUUUUACAUUCUGUGAGGUAUGUAAAAUGGUGAAAUGAUAGUUAAUUUAUGUAUAUUAAUAAAAUUAAAAAUAUAUGUCUUAAAAUGUUAA
This is a long non-coding RNA of Lucilia cuprina (Australian sheep blowfly), 266 nucleotides long. RefSeq lists it as uncharacterized. The transcript has 2 exons. Lineage: Eukaryota; Metazoa; Arthropoda; Insecta; Diptera; Calliphoridae. The record is from RefSeq and is a predicted model, not a curated record.